Long non-coding RNA from Cyprinus carpio carpio, 3293 nucleotides. The record is from Ensembl. Lineage: Eukaryota; Metazoa; Chordata; Actinopteri; Cypriniformes; Cyprinidae.
AGUAUCUUCACUUAUUCCUUAAAGGGACAGUUUACCCAAAAAAUGAAAUUCUAUCUAGAGAUAGAAUGAUUACUGAUUUGAUGAUAAAUCAUGAUUAAAUUCCCCAUGGUUAGUAUUACCAUUUCAUAUUUUAAUUAUCAUUAAAACCGUAUUCGAUUACUGCAAUUUGAACAACUGAGGAUAAAUAAAUACUAUCCAGCAUAAAGCACCGUUUUAAGUAACAGUCUGAUGUGCACACGGCAUGCAGAGUAUAGUUUUGUUUUGUGUGAAAAUGUUGGGAGGUUUUAAUAGUGUGCUAAGGGAAUUAUGCAAAUGAAUAUAUGAAUGAAUCAAUUGUGUGAAUGUACCUCUGAAGGUUCUGGCUGCCUUCAGAAAAGAUUCAAUGGCAUUUUGUUUUCAUCUUUGCUCCAUGUAAUACCUAAUAAAGUAGCGUUUUAUGCAUGGCACAUUUUAACAAUACUAUGAAAAUACAAAUAACCAUGAUAAUUUGAUCAUUUUUCUUACCGUUACAUCUCUAAUUCUAUCAUUUACUCACUCUCAAGUUGUUCCAAACCUGUAUGAGUUUCUUUCAGCUGUUAUACACAAGAGAAGAUAUUCUGAAGUAUACUGGUAACCAAACGGUUGACGGCACCCAUAGACUUGCAUGGCAUGGGAAAAAAUUAUAUGAAAGUCAAUGGGUGCCGUCAGCUUUUUUGGCUACAAACAUUCUAAAACAAACAAACAAACAAAAAACAAGUUCAGCAGGAAUAUAACAGAGAGACUUGCUUGAGCUGGUUAACUAACCUAAUCGUCUUCAUUCACACACACACAAACCUGAUCCUGCCACGGCCCCCCCUUGAAUUUGAAUACGCAUCCCCUGCCAGAUUUCUGGCCUGGAGGAAAUUGCAGGACAUUUCCUAACAAAUUGAGUUAAGUAGACGUUAAGUAGAGUUUUAAGAAAACAAAUGAGUCCCUUUAUCACAGGUGGACACUGAUGACUUAAUGGGGCCCGAACAGAUCCUAUCACAGCUAAUGGCUCGACAGGAAACAUUACGGCUUUUGUGCGCAGGAGCGGCGCGAGGCGGGCUCCCUCUCUCAGACCUGUCAUCCGAGUGGCUUUGUGCGGAGGCAGAUGUUUGUAUGUAUACGGUGAGUUGGCAGGAGCCCCUCAGCAGAUGCCUGUCUGCGUGCCAAGCCGGCGAGGGCACAGACGGCGCGUGUUGGGCAUCAUCAGCGGGCGAUAGAAUCAGAGCAGGAAUGUGAACUCUAAGACCGUAAACACAGUCAAUGCUGAUUUCAUUCUGACUUUUACUACAAACAGCGUCUCCAUAAAGAAGCAGAGAGAAAGUGUCCAUCUCUGUUUUCAGGAGCAGGUACGCUCUGCUCCAUUAAAGCCACACUGUGGCCUCUCUUUUAUGUGACAUUUUAUUUGGCGGAGACAAACGAGCACCAGUUGGAUUAUAACAUAAUUUGUCUUGUCUUUAUUACCAGCACAAAGGACAACGUUCAUUAAUUAUUCCGGCGUAGCAGCUCAGCAGCGAGCGGAGAAGGUCUCUCUCCGGACAGAUGGUGAGGACACUGUUAUUUAUAUCAAUCAGCUCAAACUGUUCAGGCAGGAUUACUAUUCCUUAGACUAUCCUGAUUUAUUCCUCUCCCUCUCUUUGCCGUAGGCUGCCGUUUGUCCGUUUUAAUGGAAAGACGAUUGGAGGUGGAUCUCGGUGUGUCCUGGCAUGUUAAUCUACACCACGUGUUUGUUUAGGAGUGUCUGAAAGAUUUACUCCCUCAAGACACAGACGACUCAAACACCAACCGGAAGUGAACAGGUGCUGCUGGGAAAACACUUAUUACUCCCGUUCAUCGCCACCGACGUCUACCAACAACACACAGCAUGACCGUCAGGGCUAAUUAUAGUUGACAACAACUAAAACUCAAAUUAAAUGUAAAAGUAUAAAAAUAAAAAAAAAUUCAAAAUAAAUAAAUAAAUAAAUAAAUAAAUAAAUAAAUAAAUAAAUAAUAAUAAAAAAAAAAAAAAAAUAUAUAUAUAUAUAUAUAUAUAUAUAUAUAUAUAUAUAUAUAUAUAUAUAUAUAUAAUACUUUUACAUUUAAUUUGAGUUUUAGUUGACGUCAGCUAUAAUUAACCCUAUAUAUAUAUAUAUAUAUAUAUAUAUAUAUAUAUAUAUAUAUAUAUAUAUAUAUAUAAAACUACUUUUUUAUUUAUUAUUAGCAAAUGCAGCAUUUCUCUUUUCCUUUUUAUUUUCAAAUUGAUGUGCUAAAAUAACAAACUAAAAUGGAAAUAAAAAUGAAAAACUACAUAUAUAUUUAACAAAAAUAAUAAUAAUAAUAAUAAUAAUAAUAAUAAUAAUAAUAAUAAUAAUAAUAAUAAUAAUAAUAAUAAUAAUAAUAAAAAUGACAAAAGUACACCAAUACAGCCAGGCUUUACCUAAAACUGAAACAAUAAAAAUAUUUGUUACUUGAAAUAGAAAUAAAAUUUAAAAUGGUAAAGAAACAAUUAAUUCAAUUUAAUGUUAAAAUAAAAUAAAAUAAAAUAAAAUAAAAUAAAAUAAUAAAAUAAAAUAAAAUAAAAUAAAAUAAAAUAAAAUAUGACAAAGCAAAAUCUCAUUCAGUUAAAAUUUAAACACAAUCAAAAAUAAAAAAAUAAAUAAAUGGCAAAACAACAUCUCAUUCAGUUUAACAUGAAGUACUACAAAUAAACCUAAAAUUAUAUAUAUAUAUAUAUAUAUAUAUAUAUAUAUAUAUAAUGACAAAAACAAAAAAAUGUUGACUAAAAUUAAUUAAAAUGAAAGCUAUUAAAAAUACUAAUUCAAAAUAUUAUAUCAUAUAUCUAUCAUUCUAUCAUAUUCUACUAGCAUAGUAACUCAAUGAUACUAAAAAUUAUACUAAAAUCCAGACAAACUGAUUUUUAGCAAUAACAUUGAAGAAAAAGCAUACCAUCAAUUUCAUCAGAAUAAAUAAAAACAAUACUGAAAUACACUGUUACAUCAGAAGCCCAAACCAGAAGUUUGCAGAGACUCGAGCGAAGGCUCUUCUGCGUUAAAUUAAUAUUAAAGUUAUUGCUGGAAGAUUGUGAGUGAAAAUCGCUCUUUCACAUAUCAAAGCUUCUCUCUUCAGAACAAGACACAAACUGAGAUGAAUAAUUCGUCUUCGUAAUACUUAGGCCUAAGUUUGUCAGAAAAUAUGAUCUGCUGAAAUGAAUCAGAUUCGGGGAUAUUCUCUCAUGGCUCCGCUCUCCUGUUGAGCCCAAUCUGAACAAAUAUGCAGAAAUAACCGUGCAGGUUGUGAUUAAGAUUUUAAAU